UUUAAUUAUUUACUUCCUAUCUAGAUAUAAUUCUUUGUGUGUAAAUAGUAAUAUAAACCAAUUAUAAAGAUUAAGAGUGAAACACAAGAAUUCUCUAAAUUUUUCCAAAAUUCUUCAGUUCUACACACGCAAACAAAAUAAAACUGGGGGAACGUGAAAGGAAGAAGCUGCUCAAUAUUUCCGAAGAUGCAGGGUCAAAUAUUUUUUGCUUGCUUACAGGCUUUUUGAUAACCAAUAACUAUGUCCAAUUCUGCAUUUGAUGAGAUGUUCUGUUGCUAGUGGAAGAAGUAUUUAUUAUAGCUGAUGUGUUUUACUCAUUACCCUUCCAAACUGAUGUUUCCUUUUGUGGCAUUACCACUUCAUUUGCUAUUGUGACUUGAGCUCAUGCAAGUUGCUCAUUAUUAAGGAAACAUAGAAUUAUAGGUGAAAGAAUAAACUUCUUGUUUGUGUUUACAUCAAUACUUUAACCUUUUGUGGAUUUUGGAAGAUCUUAGGGAAAAUGCAGCACUACCAUUGCUAGUUUGUACGUCUACCUGUUCAAGUGAAUUGCUCCGUUCAAUUAUUCAGAACUCAGAAGCCCGCACAAGGCAUGAAAACAGCCUGUAUAUGAAUAAAAAAGAGCAAUAAAUGAUGCAAAUGAGAUGCUUUUAGUUAUUCGAUACACUUGUAAUGUUCCACCAUAUUUUGGAUGUCUGAAAAGUUACAGAUAAGACACAGGAAUUUUCUAUGGGUUUCAUUGGGUAAUGGAUGAACUGAGCAACACCAUAGUUUAUUAUUAUCAUUAUUACUAUUAUUAGUGCUUGAAAAGGGAGAAAGGAAGUGUGGAGGAUGUCAACCAUUAAAUUUAAAGUAAGAUGGGUGAAAUGGAGAAUUGCAAGGAGUUAACUAUUUAAUUGCAAAAUACUAGCCAAGUUGAAGGGGAAAUUUUUAGGAUCACAAUUCAUUUGCCAUGACUGAUGACGCAUGGUAAUGAGUGUUGGGUAAGUAAAGAAACAACAAUUUAACAAAAUUAGUGUGCAAAAAAGAAUGACAAUUAAGUAGUCAAGGAAAGCUAGAUUUAGGAAUUAUUUUUGUUUAUACUUUUGUUUAAGUUUUAAUUGUGAAACUAAGAUCUUUAUAUUUUCUAGUGCAAUUCUACUAAAAAGUUUAGAUUUUUAUUACUUAGGGAUUCUUUGUAGUAAGUAGAAGUAUUAGAAUGUCAAUAAUGGUGGUAUAUAUUUUCCUAAUUACCACUAGUUUAGAAUUUACUUUGGGAUUCCUAACCAUGGUAGUAGCAUGAAUUAUUAGUCUAUAAAAUUUAAAUACCUAUGUGGCUUACGUGUUAUCUGGGCUAAUUUGCUAUUCAAAUUAUUUAAAGUUCGAAUCAAAGUUUCAUGCUUCGUGUUUGUGAGUUCAUUUAUGGUUCUAUAUGACUUUGGUAUAUGAAUGCAAUUUUAGGAUGGUGGAAGUGGCUCCUUUGGAGGAAAAGUUGAGAAUAGAGAUAUUGAAAUAAUUUGGACAUUUGCAUUGUAGAUGAACAUAUGUGCUUACAAGGGAAUCUAGGAUGAAGUGGAGGGAAAGAGGGAAAAAGUAUUUGGUGGGCCUAGAUCUUUUCAAAGAUGUAGCCCUAAACCAGGUGGAUAGGAAAAUGAUUUUUAUAGUCAAUCCCAACGCCCAAUUAAUGUGGGAUUGAAGUUCAGUUGAGUCUAGUACUAGAGGCACCAUCUAUAUCUACCAAAAUAAAAUGUAUUUGUUCUUAGGAAAUGCAUACGUAUAUUGUCUUGGCAAAAGUACCCAUGAUGUAUUAUUAUUAUUAUUAUUGUUAUUAUUAUGAUAAUUCCAAGGACAUGGACUGUUCUGUGAAAUUUACAUGAGAAAAGUUAUUGUAGUAAAUGCUGAAUUCUUUGCCAAUGAAGUGAAUUGUAAAUGUCAGUUAAGGUAUCAUAAUAUCAUCAUUGGUGUCUGACCAAAAACAACUGUAAUUGUGAACCUAAAAAUAAAGUGCUCAGAUACUGGCCACUUAUUCCAUUGACCACUGUUUUACAAUGCCUCUUACAUUGGGCAAAGGGCAAUAUUUUCCAAUCCAUCUGAAUUCUACUGUUCAGAGAGAUGUUUCAAGGCCUAGAGUUUUUCUUGUUUCUUACAUUCUUAGCAUAGUAAUUGUGUCCACAUUUACUAACAUCUUGUUGGUCAAUUGUCAACUCAUAAAUUUCUGUUUGGAGGUGAUUUUUGUCAAUAAAUAACUGUUUGUAUGUCUUUUCUGAUACUAACUGAAGAUGCUAUUUGCAUCAGAAAAGCAACACCCAGGAAGCAAUGCUAUAAGCAGGACAACAGCGUUCUAGCAGAGGUAGUUCUUGGCGUUUUUACCCUAGAACGUUUUGGAUUUGCUCUUAAGAUUAUCAAUUAUUGCUUUUUCAUCCAGCAAGUUUUGCUUCUGGCUGGAUGGUGUUAAAUUUGGGUCAGGCCUAACUCAUCCCGAAAGCUAACUCAAGGGGAAGGAUCGCCUAUGGACCAUAUAAGGGGCACAUUACCCCUUUCCACAACCGAUAUGAAAUUCAACACACCCCCACACACCCAGAAUUUUACCAAUGCGUGACAUAUUCAUGGGAGGCCCAAUAUCGGAUGGAUGGGGAGGCUCUGAUACCAUGUUAAAUUUGGGUCAGGCCUAACUCAUCCCAAAAGCUAGCUCAAAGGGGAGGAUUGUCUAUGGACCAUGUAAGGGGCAUAUUACCCCUUUCUACAACCGAUGUGGAUUCAACAGAUGGCUUUCAUGCAGGAUAUUUAUCCAUAACUCAC
This is a long non-coding RNA of Manihot esculenta (cassava), 2775 nucleotides long. RefSeq lists it as uncharacterized. NCBI's taxonomy places the organism in Eukaryota, Viridiplantae, Streptophyta, Magnoliopsida, Malpighiales, Euphorbiaceae. The transcript is spliced from 2 exons. The record is from RefSeq and is a predicted model, not a curated record.